This 71-nucleotide transfer RNA is filed under the name Candidatus Segetimicrobium genomatis. Its description in RNAcentral is "Terrabacteria group bacterium ANGP1 tRNA-Ala". Lineage: Bacteria; Bacillati; Candidatus Sysuimicrobiota; Candidatus Sysuimicrobiia; Candidatus Sysuimicrobiales; Candidatus Segetimicrobiaceae. The record is from RNAcentral.
GGGGACGUGUCCCCCUGAGGAGGGCGCGUAGCGCCCGACGGUCGGGGGUUCAAAUCCCCUCGUCUCCACCA